UACGAGGGGGGCAAGCGUUGUUCGGAAUUAUUGGGCGUAAAGGGCGCGUAGGCGGUGCGGUAAGUCGGACGUGAAAUCCCUCGGCUUAACCGGGGAACUGCGUCCGAUACUGGUUGGCUUGAGUUUGGGAGAGGGAUGCGGAAUUCCAGGUGUAGCGGUGAAAUGCGUAGAUAUCAGGAGGAACACCGAUUGCGAAGGCAGCUCGCUGGAACGUUACUGACGCUGAGACGCGAAAGCGUGGGGAGCAAACAGG
Molecule: ribosomal RNA, 253 nt
Filed under: uncultured bacterium
Lineage: Bacteria
Description: partial 16S ribosomal RNA
Rfam family: Bacterial small subunit ribosomal RNA
Source: RNAcentral